GAUGAACGCUGGCGGCGUGCCUAAUACAUGCAAGUCGAGCGAACAGACGAGGAGCUUGCUCCUCUGACGUUAGCGGCGGACGGGUGAGUAACACGUGGAUAACCUACCUAUAAGACUGGGAUAACUUCGGGAAACCGGAGCUAAUACCGGAUAAUAUAUUGAGCCGCAUGGUUCAAUAGUGAAAGACGGUUUUGCUGUCACUUAUAGAUGGAUCCGCGCCGCAUUAGCUAGUUGGUAAGGUAACGGCUUACCAAGGCAACGAUGCGUAGCCGACCUGAGAGGGUGAUCGGCCACACUGGAACUGAGACACGGUCCAGACUCCUACGGGAGGCAGCAGUAGGGAAUCUUCCGCAAUGGGCGAAAGCCUGACGGAGCAACGCCGCGUGAGUGAUGAAGGUCUUCGGAUCGUAAAACUCUGUUAUUAGGGAAGAACAAAUGUGUAAGUAACUAUGCACGUCUUGACGGUACCUAAUCAGAAAGCCACGGCCAACUACGUG
Molecule: ribosomal RNA, 497 nt
Filed under: uncultured bacterium
Lineage: Bacteria
Description: partial 16S ribosomal RNA
Rfam family: Bacterial small subunit ribosomal RNA
Source: RNAcentral